GACGAACGCUGGCGGCGUGCCUAAUACAUGCAAGUAGAACGCUGAAGGAGGAGCUUGCUUCUCUGGAUGAGUUGCGAACGGGUGAGUAACGCGUAGGUAACCUGCCUGGUAGCGGGGGAUAACUAUUGGAAACGAUAGCUAAUACCGCAUAAUAGCAGUUGUUGCAUGAUAACUGUUUGAAAGGUGCAAUUGCACCACUACCAGAUGGACCUGCGUUGUAUUAGCUAGUUGGUGGGGUAACGGCUCACCAAGGCGACGAUACAUAGCCGACCUGAGAGGGUGAUCGGCCACACUGGGACUGAGACACGGCCCAGACUCCUACGGGAGGCAGCAGUAGGGAAUCUUCGGCAAUGGACGGAAGUCUGACCGAGCAACGCCGCGUGAGUGAAGAAGGUUUUCGGAUCGUAAAGCUCUGUUGUAAGAGAAGAACGAGUGUGAGAGUGGAAAGUUCACACUGUGACGGUAUCUUACCAGAAAGGGACGGCUAACUACGUG
RNAcentral lists this ribosomal RNA (495 nucleotides) under uncultured bacterium. RNAcentral describes it as "partial 16S ribosomal RNA". It matches the Rfam family "Bacterial small subunit ribosomal RNA", at positions 28 to 507 of the family's 1533-position model. The record is from RNAcentral.